Molecule: long non-coding RNA, 4209 nt
Filed under: Homo sapiens (human)
Lineage: Eukaryota; Metazoa; Chordata; Mammalia; Primates; Hominidae
Description: HSALNT0110644
Source: RNAcentral
UUUCAACUAUUCUCUGGGUGUCUUGCCUACUGGUUUAGCGUGCAGACUUUAAACUUGCCAGCUUUCCACAAUCAGAGUAAAAUGACUGGUUAUUUAAAGAAGAAGAAGAAGAAGAAGGAAGGGAAGAAGAAGGAGAAAAUCUGGAACUGAACAAAAAGCCCACGCAUGUCAUAGAUUGCCUUUCAAGUAAUAUGUAAUUUUUCCUGUUUCUCCGUAUGCCUAUCUUCAAGUACAUAUAGAGAAAAUAUAAAGCUGAAGAAGUUUAGAUAACAAAAUAUUAUUUAAAACCUGAUAGAGAUUUGGAUAAAUCUGGCUAAUUAACAUUUUUAUAGUUAAAGCUCUUAGUCUUGAUUAAAGUAAAAUAAGAAAUAUUUUAAAGAAAUGCAUCGGCAGUUUGGCGAUAUUCUUUUUUAAUAUUGUUAAGCAUGAAGCCAGAUUUAGUGUGGAGCCAAAUUUCACAUACAUGCUUGCAUUGCUUCACACUAUGUUUACUGUUUUGCAUGGAUUAUACUAGCACUGUAGUACUUACUGGUAAUGUUCCCAGAGUGAAUUUCUUGAUUGUAUAGGAGGUAUGGUGAUAUUGGUACAAAUUAAGGAUAUUGAAUUGUGUAUGAGCAAUAAAACAUUCAUUAUGUGGGUUUUGGGGGGCUUUGGAUAACAUUGUAGCCUCCAGUGUAGACUGAGUAGAAAAUACUUAGCAUUGUUUUCCUGUUUAUUUGUUUUUGCUUCUAAAUUUUAUUUGUUUGUUAUUUGUUCUCCUUUGGGUUUUUGUAUGCAUAUGAUGCUUUUUAGUUUCCAAUGGAAGAAUUUUAUUUGAUUCUGUGAAUAGUUAUUUUUUCCCUAUGCAUCUCUAGCAAGCCAUCAUUUGUUCUAUUUCUCUGAGAUUCCUAGGCUCCUUUAGUCAGGCCUGCAGGAACUGAUGAAGCACACCAGCCAUUUGGAAUUUUGUUCAUUUUGCUUGCCUCUGAUAAUCUAGAGAACUAAAAAAUAAAAGACUUAUUUUUAUAGAUUCUGGACAGAAAUAGUACAUUACACAUUUUGUUGUUUGGAGGGGUAAAUGAGAGUGGAAAUGUUUGAGUGGUGUGUGUUUCCAGGGUGAUUCAAUUGAAUCAAUAGUUUGGGUUGGUUUCAGAACUUUUCCUUUGAUGAAGAAAAACUGUGAUAUGGGCACAAAGUUUUAAUGUUCAGGAAAGAUUGGCUUUGUCCUUAAGAAAAUUAUAUUGACUAGAAUUUCUCUCAAGCUAAUUCAAUUUUGUUUACUACUAUCAAAUUAAAAUUACCUUCACCUGGAUUAAGUAGUAAUAACAAAGGUGAGACUUUCCAGUGAUUUUUUUUAUCUCAAGCUGUCUAUCAGUGAUGAGCCUUCAUGUGUGUACUUGAAAACAAAAUAUGUGCAGGUGUUGCAAUGGUAUAAAAGUUUUUAUGGUGAAAGUUAUCUAAUUAGUUGUCAGUACCGUAUCUAGAAACCAAUCUUGGGAAUAUGUGAUGACCUGCUUUUAAAAAUAGCUGAAAGGAAACUGUUUGCUUGUUUUUACUUUGUCCUUGUUUUGUUGUAUCAUAUUUAAAUGAAAGGAGAUUAUUUCUCACCCUGAACUUCCAAAACUGAUAUUCUUAAUUAAAAAGUUUAUGGAACUCCUACCUUAUGGUGAGUCUAAUUAAAAUUAGUCAAAUUUGUUUAUAAGGUUUGAUUAAAAUUAGAUUUAAAAUUACUAAUAUGCCAUACAAAAGUAAAAUUUUGGUUUCCUCUUUUGGACAAAAUAUUUGCGUAAUAAAAAUAUUUGUUUACCUUUUGAAUAAACUUCAGGAAGAAAUUGGAGGGGGAAGAGACAAAUCUGGUUGCCUCGUGCUGUCUUAAGUAUUAGGUCUUAUUUGUUUGAGAAGUUAAACUGCAUUUCUUCAUUAUUGAAAAGUAAACGUUUUUGUAUUAUAAUUUUGGCUACCUAAAUGACAAUUUUAUAGUAACUUGUGAUAGUAUUUUGUGAUACCGAGUCUCUUAAACCACUGAAAUUGGAAAAACUUUCCAACAGCAGAAUUUCAAGUCUUAAAUUGAGUCUUUUGACCUCAAACUAAACUUUUUGGAUAUUAGGCUACCUGAAAUUCAACAAAGACACAUUGGGCUUAUUAGGUGUAUUUGUAAUGUUAUGAUUACACAACAAGCAUUGUCAAAUCUGAGGUAGUGUUUAGCCUCCUUUGGGUUAUAUUUAUAUAGAUGUUUUAUUAGCAUGUGUUCCAGGAUUGUAUGAGACUCCUUGAAUUGUGAUAUGUCUUAAUAUACAUUUUCAGUAAUAUAUGAUUAUUAUGUUAAAUUGUUGUAUACCAUAGAAAUAACCAAAUUUCCUUGUCGACUGUGUCUUUAAGUAUGGCUGUUGUGAAUAUUCUUAAUUCAUGGCCAUGUGUUUGUUUGCAUGCAGUUAAUAACCACAUGUUUUCUUUUGUAAUGGGACACAAUUAGAGAAACUGGUUAUUUUCUCAGAGCUUUCACUGAAAUGGCCUUGUGAGUUGUUCCAGCAAAGCCAAUUUAGAAGAGUCUACAUGAAAAAUAAUUUUUGUUGCACUUUGCGUGGGUACUCAUACCAAGUAUAUGAGACUGAAGCUUAUUAUGCAGGUAGAUUGGUUCUGCCAUGAUUUGUCUUUGGAGGAAAUGGCAGACCAGAGAGAGAAAUAUCAUAGGUCUCAAAAUUAAUAUAGUACCCAACAACCAAUCCCUCAUUAUACCUUUAACUUCAACCAAUGGACACAAACAAGCCAUCCAACUUAUACCCCUUUGGUAGGGCUAGGAAUAGCAGCAGGAGUAGGAAUAAGAGUUGGCAGGCUUGCAACUUCCCUAUCCUAUUACCAACGCUUGUCCAGUGAUUUUAUGAAAAGCUUGAAUGACAUUUCCCAAGGUAUCAUUACCAUACAAAGUCAAAUAGACUCUUUGGCAGUGGUCACUUUGCAAAAUAGAAUGGGACUAGAUCUCCUAACUGCUGAAAAAGGUGGCUUAUGACUUUUUCCUAGAGAACAAAUGCUGUUUUAAUGUCAACCAAUCAAGAUUAAUAAGACAUGACACCCAAAAACUAGCUGACUGGGCCUCUGAAAUAUCACAACAGCUGUUUGAGUCAUUAGGCUACUGGUGAAGGGCACUGCGUUAGGUUUCAUGGCUCCUCCCCUUGGCCAGCCCAUUAUUAAUAAUUACAAUUGCCUUGUUUUUUGGACCAUGUUUGUUAAAUCUUUUAACCAAGUUAAUUUCCAUCAAGCUUCAGACAAUCAUGAGAAAAGGUUUCCAGCAGUUCCAGAUGAAGACACUGUCAGCCAUCAAGAAGGUCCUCUGUCUCCACUAGACAGAGCUUGGCAAGAGUUCCAUGAUCCCCAAUAGGUAGGUACUGCACUCCAAGUCAGCAGGAAGCAGUAACUAAAACAAAUACCCUUUGUCCCUCUGCCCCCCCAUAGAGAUUUAUGGGGAUCAUGUCUCUUAGGGGGGAAAUAAGGCAGAAGAAUAAGAUCUGGAGGCAAGGAACCUCAGGCUGAUUCACACUGACUUCCUAAAACUGAAUCAAAAGGAAAAUCCACCUCUUCACACCCAAGUAACAAAAGGAUCAGAGGCUACUUGCUUUGCAAUCCCCCUACUUUGUCUGCAUUGCAAAUGAAAAAUAAAAUUACCUCUAUGGGCACCCUCCUGCAACCAAUCAGACUGGUCACAGGCCAAGACUUCAUGUGUAACUUUGUAACUUCACUUCAGCAUCUCAUUCAUUGGUUGCCUUCUGCAACCAAUCAGACUUGUUGUGGGCCACUACCUUAUGUAAAUAGGGUGUAAACCAAGUAACCAAUGGGAAACCUCUAGAGGGAUUUAAAUCCCAGAAAAUUCUGUACCCAGUGCUCUUGCACCACUUGGUCAAGUCCACUGUUACUCUGUGGAGUGUACUUUCAUUUCAAUAAAUCUGUGCUUUUCUUUUGUUGCUUUGUUUGUGCAUUUUGUCCAAUUCUUUGCAAAAUGCCAAGAACCUGUACACCCUCAAGUGGUAACAAUUGGGCAUAUUAUACUUAAUUGUUUUCCUGACACAACAUAUUAACAUUGGACAAAAUAUUAUCCUGAGAUACCACAACAAUGUUGGGCAAAAACAUAUUAAUUUUGGACAAAAACAACUUAAAUAGGACCUAUAACAUGUCAAUAUGAAUUAAAAUUAUCUGACUUAUUUUAUUUAAUUAAUACCUCAUUUUUUCUUAGUUUCC